AUUUUUGCCUCACCUGGUGUUAAUGGUUGUUUCCAUGCUCUACCAGUGCAGGACUGGGACUGCCCUCCCUCCACAGCACGCCUGUGUUUACUUCUGCUAGUUUGGACCCAAGUUGCUCCUCCAGCUUUCAGCUGUGACCUGGGGUGAGAUCUGAGCAAGGACUUUGACACUUCCAAGUCAAGGAUGGGAAACCCAGAGCAGGCGCCUGAGCUUGCACAGCACCUCAGAUGCAAGAUGGGCAGCGCAAGCGUCCUCAAACUGCCCCGCCAACGUGCUUCAAUUCUGAAUGAGAAGGACCAGCUUUCUGGGUGAGAAAGGAGUCUGUCUCUAUUCAGUCUCUGACCCCUCUGCUCAAGGCUGUUAAUGAAGGGGCCUCAUUAACACCAAAGACAGGGGUCAAGUUUGGCCAAGUGAUGUAAUGGUCUGUGCUGUGCCAAACCUGCCAGCCGGCUGGACCUGCCACGGAGAGCAUUGCACAAGCUGGAUUUGCCCAGCACUGAAUACGAGCUGCUGGUAGAAGUGCAGGCUGGAGAAGAUGGGCCCAGGCAUCUUAUGUGCCCAUUGAAGCAAACACA
Long non-coding RNA from Falco peregrinus (peregrine falcon), 575 nucleotides. RefSeq lists it as uncharacterized. The transcript is spliced from 3 exons. NCBI's taxonomy places the organism in Eukaryota, Metazoa, Chordata, Aves, Falconiformes, Falconidae. The record is from RefSeq and is a predicted model, not a curated record.